GGAUACUUAUAAUCUUUACAUAGGCUGCUCCUUAAUAUGAAUGAAAGAAGACUCUCUAUAAUAACUAACAAGGGCUGGGCUGCCUAUGAAAUAUAUAGAGCUCUAUGACUCAACUCAAAUCAAUAAGAAUGGAGAAAUUUUGACUCGUCUCAUCAUUCUCGUCUUUCAGUUCAUAUUCUAUAGUGCCAGCGGAGAAGUCACCCAACUCUUUCAGGAAAAGGUUCUAUAUAAGCCGCUAAGGCAUUAUGUAUGACUCAAAUAGUAAAUCUUUCCUCAAUCCACUCAGGCGGAACCCUCGCAUUCUCUCUUAGAGACUCUAUCAUGAAAGAAAGGGAAGCCAACUAACUCAUAGACGCCC
Molecule: long non-coding RNA, 358 nt
Filed under: Olea europaea (common olive)
Lineage: Eukaryota; Viridiplantae; Streptophyta; Magnoliopsida; Lamiales; Oleaceae
Description: long non-coding RNA (OEUR_LNC014025)
Source: RNAcentral